CUACGGGUCGCAGCAGUGGGGAAUAUUGCACAAUGGGCGAAAGCCUGAUGCAGCAACGCCGCGUGAGGGACGACGGCCUUCGGGUUGUAAACCUCUUUUAGCAGGGAAGAAGCGAAAGUGACGGUACCUGCAGAAAAAGCACCGGCUAACUACGUGCCAGCAGCCGCGGUAAUACGUAGGGUGCAAGCGUUGUCCGGAAUUAUUGGGCGUAAAGAGCUCGUAGGCGGUUUGUCGCGUCUGCUGUGAAAAUCCGAGGCUCAACCUCGGACCUGCAGUGGGUACGGGCAAACUAGAGUGCGGUAGGGGAGAUUGGAAUUCCUGGUGUAGCGGUGGAAUGCGCAGAUAUCAGGAGGAACACCAAUGGCGAAGGCAGAUCUCUGGGCCGUAACUGACGCUGAGGAGCGAAAGCGUGGGGAGCGAACAGGAUUAGAUACCCUUGUAGUC
This 444-nucleotide ribosomal RNA is filed under the name uncultured bacterium. RNAcentral describes it as "partial 16S ribosomal RNA". It matches the Rfam family "Bacterial small subunit ribosomal RNA", at positions 339 to 795 of the family's 1533-position model. The record is from RNAcentral.